Molecule: long non-coding RNA, 907 nt
Filed under: Monodelphis domestica (gray short-tailed opossum)
Lineage: Eukaryota; Metazoa; Chordata; Mammalia; Didelphimorphia; Didelphidae
Description: lncRNA (ENSMODG00000031853.2)
Source: RNAcentral
GUCAAGCUUGAAGGAUGUAAAUAUGGACUCUCCUGGACUCUCCUGGACAUCUUGCAAACUGCCUCAAAUACCAUCAAACAAGGGAUGAUCCUUUUCUAUCCAGGAAACUGUCCUUUGGGGAAAAGAGAGAAAAAAACAAUAAAAGUAACCAAGAAAUUCACUGAAUCUCUUAGUGUGGCAAUGAUCAACAUCCAUGGUUACCUAUUUUUAUAAAGGUGGAAGCUUUCCUUUAUUAACCAUAAAUGAAGUAUGAAAUGUUGCACAGAGUUGAAUGUGGAACCAGAAAAGUUGUGCCAAUUGAAUCAUUAUGAUAACUGAUAUGAGGAGCCAUCUUCAAUGACCAAAAACUGAGAUUGGAGAGCAGAUGAUGAACAUCCUCUUCUCAAAAGAGAGGAGAACAGAGUGGUGGCCUCUGGCCACUGCUCUUCUACUUCCCUUCUUGGUGAGGAGAGAGAAGACAAAGCUAGAGAUGACAAUGGCACCCUCAAGCAAUAUAUGUGGGGACUGCUUUUGCUAUAUUAUUAUUAUUACCAGCAGCAGCAGCAACAACAACAAUAACAGCAAGAAACAGAUGACCAGGGAGCAGAACAAGUAUCUUUAGCAUAUGAUGUGAAGAAGAAGAUGAAGAAAUUGAUACCCAGAGAGAAAUGUCUUACCUAGGAUCAUGGACAACAAAAGGACUGGGAUAUGAGUGUAGGUCCUUUGACUCCAAAUCCAGUGCUCUUUCCAUCAAGAUGCAGAUCACUUUUAGGGAUGUACUGAAGCCAACUUUAACCUUUGGGAGAGUUGAAAUUGUUAGAUUAUCUCAGAAAUUAGUUAAAAUAAUUAAUUACAUACUUUUAUUAUUGUUGGUUUAAACUAAUUAAAUGAAAUACAUCAUUAAAAUAAAGUACUUCAGAAAUCAGCA